UGAUAACAUAAGGGAAAAUAAUGAUAUUACCUUAUUAUUAGUGUCGUCCAAAUCUGGUGCCAGAAGACUCGGUAAGGCCAGAGACACAAACGUUAAUCGUCUUAAUCAGGCGUAAAGGGUUUGUAGGCGGCUUUAAAAUUUAGUUAUAAAAAAAUAAAUAAUAAGUAAAGAAUAAAAGCUAGAAUCAAAUAGAGGAUAUAUUAAAGAAUGCUUAGAGUAGGUCUGAUAUCUGUAGAUACUAAGUAGAAUAUUAAAGGCGAAAGCUUUUUUCCAUUAAUGAUUGACGCUCAGAAACGAAGGUGAGGAUAGGAAAUAGGAUUAGAUACCCAAAUACCCCUCUCUGUCAACGAUGAAUGGUAGUUUAUUAAUAAAUUAUUAAUGACAAUGUUAACACGAUAACCAUUCCGCCUUGUGAGUACAACUGCAAAGUUGAAAACAAAAAAAUUAGUCGGUUUCGGAGCAAACGAAGUGAAGCAUGUUAUUUAA
This 486-nucleotide ribosomal RNA is filed under the name Russula decipiens. Its description in RNAcentral is "mitochondrial SSU rRNA". It matches the Rfam family "Bacterial small subunit ribosomal RNA", at positions 434 to 949 of the family's 1533-position model. The record is from RNAcentral. Lineage: Eukaryota; Fungi; Basidiomycota; Agaricomycetes; Russulales; Russulaceae.